CAUACUUAAGUCACAAUUUCUUAACUGUUAAGAUUUUCGAAUUAAGUAUGAUGUUGUGUUUGCAUAUUGUUUGGUUUUUCCAAACCAAAGUAACGAAAGUUACUUUUUCUUUUCAUUUCCUGU
This 123-nucleotide small RNA is filed under the name Aggregatibacter segnis ATCC 33393. Its description in RNAcentral is "GcvB RNA". It matches the Rfam family "GcvB RNA", at positions 1 to 139 of the family's 204-position model. Rfam says of the family: The gcvB gene encodes a small untranslated RNA involved in expression of the dipeptide and oligopeptide transport systems in Escherichia coli. The record is from RNAcentral. Lineage: Bacteria; Pseudomonadati; Pseudomonadota; Gammaproteobacteria; Pasteurellales; Pasteurellaceae.